GACGAACGCUGGCGGCGUGCCUAACACAUGCAAGUGGAGCGACGAACCAGGCUUCGGCCUGGGGCAAAGCCGCGAACGGGUGAGUAACACGUGGGUAACCUGCCCUGAUGAUUGGGACAACCCGAGGAAACUCGGGCUAAUACCAAAUGUGCCCUUCGGCCAUAAGGCCGCCGGGGAAAGGAAGCUUCGGCCUCCGCAUCUGGAUGGGCCCGCGGCCCAUUAGCUUGUUGGUGAGGUAACGGCUCACCAAGGCGACGAUGGGUAGCUGGUCUGAGAGGACGAUCAGCCACACUGGGACUGAGACACGGCCCAGACUCCUACGGGAGGCAGCAGUGGGGAAUCUUGCGCAAUGGGCGAAAGCCUGACGCAGCGACGCCGCGUGAGGGAUGACGGCCUCGG
Molecule: ribosomal RNA, 399 nt
Filed under: uncultured bacterium
Lineage: Bacteria
Description: bacterial SSU rRNA
Rfam family: Bacterial small subunit ribosomal RNA
Source: RNAcentral